This 200-nucleotide unclassified non-coding RNA is filed under the name soil metagenome. RNAcentral describes it as "partial contains internal transcribed spacer 2 and large subunit ribosomal RNA". The record is from RNAcentral.
AACACAUCCUCAAGCAAAUUGGCUUGGUCUUGGAGGAAGAUGUCAUCAUCUCCUCUCAAAUACCUCAGCGGAAACCUCUGCAGGCUCAGGUGUGAUAAUUACUUUUCACUUGGUGACUGUGGUUACGUUCUUGCUGUCAAGAGCCCCCCAGCUUCUAUAAGUUUGACCUCGGAUCAGGUAGGGAUACCCGCUGAACUUAA